Molecule: transfer RNA, 73 nt
Filed under: Ixodes scapularis (black-legged tick)
Lineage: Eukaryota; Metazoa; Arthropoda; Arachnida; Ixodida; Ixodidae
Rfam family: tRNA
About the family: Transfer RNA (tRNA) molecules are approximately 80 nucleotides in length. Their secondary structure includes four short double-helical elements and three loops (D, anti-codon, and T loops).
Source: Rfam by way of RNAcentral
CCCUGGUUAGCUCAGUUGGGGCAGCGCUCCACUGGAAAUGGAGAGGUCCCGGGUUCGAUACCCGGACCAGGCG